RNAcentral lists this ribosomal RNA (253 nucleotides) under uncultured bacterium. RNAcentral describes it as "partial 16S ribosomal RNA". It matches the Rfam family "Bacterial small subunit ribosomal RNA", at positions 524 to 776 of the family's 1533-position model. The record is from RNAcentral.
UACGUAGGGGGCAAGCGUUGUCCGGAUUUAUUGGGCGUAAAGAGCGUGUAGGCGGCUUGGUAGGUCCGCUGUGAAAACUCGAGGCUCAACCUCGAGAUGUCGGCGGAAACCACUUGGCUAGAGUCCGGAAGAGGAGAGUGGAAUUCCUGGUGUAGCGGUGAAAUGCGCAGAUAUCAGGAAGAACACCCGUGGCGAAGGCGGCUUUCUGGGACGGUACUGACGCUGAGACGCGAAAGCGUGGGGAGCGAACAGG